GUAGCGGACACCGCAAGGUCGCUGUCGUGUUCGACAGUCCGUCUUCUGCGGCUCGCACUGCGGGCCGCAACCGGCACAGCCGGAUUUGCCCAACCCGCCGAUGAAGGGUCAUCGGC
The sequence is a regulatory RNA element, 116 nucleotides long. It matches the Rfam family "Pseudomon-groES RNA". The record is from Rfam.